RNAcentral lists this ribosomal RNA (726 nucleotides) under Bacillus subtilis. RNAcentral's name for it is "bacterial SSU rRNA". It matches the Rfam family "Bacterial small subunit ribosomal RNA", at positions 297 to 1047 of the family's 1533-position model. The record is from RNAcentral. Lineage: Bacteria; Bacillati; Bacillota; Bacilli; Caryophanales; Bacillaceae.
AGAGGGUAUUGCCACACUGGAAUCGAACUGCCCAGAUCUACGGAGGCAGCAGUAGAAUCUCCACAUGGGGAAGCUGAUGAGCACGCCGCUUGAUGGAGAUGAUCCGUCGUAAACUCGUUGUAGGGAGACAGUACAGUAGUACCUGCUGUACUUGACGGUACCUAUUAGAAGCCACGGCUACUACGUGCCAGCAGCGCAGUAUACGUAGGUGCUAGCGUUGUCCGGAAUUAUUCGGCGUAAGCGCGCGCAGGUGGUUUCUUAAGUAUGAUGUGAAAGCGCACGGCUCAACCCUGGAGGGUCAUUGGAAACUGGGAGACUUGAGUGCAGAAGAGGAUAGCGGAAUUCCAAGUGCAGCGGUGAAAUGCGUAGAGAUUUGGAGGAACACCAGUGGCGAAGGCGACUAUCUGGUCUGUAACUGACAGUGAGGCGCGAAAGCGUGGGGAGCAAACAGGAUAAGAUAGCUUGGUAGUACACGCAGUAAACGAUGAGUGCUAAGUGUUAGGGGGUUUCCGCCCUUUAGUGCUGCAGCUAACGCAUUAAGCACUCCGCCCGGGGAGUACGGUCGCAAGACUGAAACUCAAAGGAAUUGACGGGGGCCCGCACUAGCGGUGGAGCAUGUGGUUUAAUUCGAAGCAACGCGAAGAACCUUACCAGGUCUUGACAUCCCGUUGACCACGGUAUAGAUAUGGUUUCCCCUUCGGGGGCAACGGUGACAGGUGGUGCAUG